Molecule: non-coding RNA, 73 nt
Organism: Cordylochernes scorpioides
Lineage: Eukaryota; Metazoa; Arthropoda; Arachnida; Pseudoscorpiones; Chernetidae
Source: the annotation of a GenBank genome assembly
GGGUUUAGCUCAGUGGUAGAGCGUCUGUUUUGCAUGUUGUGAAAGGUCCCGGGUUCGAUCCUCGGCAUAUCCA